UGGGGAAUAUUGGACAAUGGGGGCAACCCUGAUCCAGCGAUGCCGCGUGAGUGAAGAAGGCCUUCGGGUCGUAAAGCUCUUUAGGUUGGGAAGAAGGUUUUAAGGGGAUAAUACUUAGAGCUUGACGGUACCGACAGAAUAAGCACCGGCAAACUCUGUGCCAGCAGCCGCGGUAAUACAGAGGGUGCGAGCGUUAAUCGGAAUUACUGGGCGUAAAGGGCGCGUAGGCGGUAACAUGUGUGUGAUGUGAAAGCCCCGGGCUUAACCUGGGAAGUGCAUCGCAAACUAUGUAACUAGAGUAUAUGAGAGGGUGGCGGAAUUUCCGGUGUAGCGGUGAAAUGCGUAGAGAUCGGAAGGAACGUCGAUGGCGAAGGCAGCCACCUGGCAUGAUACUGACGCUGAGGCGCGAAAGCGUGGGGAGCGAACAG
Molecule: ribosomal RNA, 428 nt
Filed under: uncultured bacterium
Lineage: Bacteria
Description: bacterial SSU rRNA
Rfam family: Bacterial small subunit ribosomal RNA
Source: RNAcentral